UGUAACGAUGAAGAGCCUGAUG
RNAcentral lists this unclassified non-coding RNA (22 nucleotides) under Mus musculus (house mouse). Its description in RNAcentral is "oocyte_clustered_small_RNA9414". Lineage: Eukaryota; Metazoa; Chordata; Mammalia; Rodentia; Muridae. The record is from RNAcentral.